GGAGGAAGAAAUUUACAUUUCAUAUGUGAUGGAAGAUACCACAACUUCCUGAUCUUUCAUUUUCUGACAUUGACAUUAAAGGAUAGCUUCCAAAAGUUGCUGAGUUAAUUUGAGUUUGAAUGAUCUUUGUUUCUUCAACUGAACUUCCGGCCUUGAAUUCCAAGUUCUUCAUUUGAUUUGUUUGAAACUGUAACAAAUUUUCAAGCUU
RNAcentral lists this unclassified non-coding RNA (208 nucleotides) under Hevea brasiliensis (rubber tree). The record is from RNAcentral. Lineage: Eukaryota; Viridiplantae; Streptophyta; Magnoliopsida; Malpighiales; Euphorbiaceae.